RNAcentral lists this ribosomal RNA (253 nucleotides) under uncultured bacterium. RNAcentral's name for it is "partial 16S ribosomal RNA". It matches the Rfam family "Bacterial small subunit ribosomal RNA", at positions 524 to 776 of the family's 1533-position model. The record is from RNAcentral.
UACGUAGGGUGCAAGCGUUGUCCGGAAUUAUUGGGCGUAAAGAGCUCGUAGGCGGUUUGUUGCGUCGGCUGUGAAAACCUGAGGCUCAACCUCAGGCCUGCAGUCGAUACGAGCAGACUAGAGUGUUGCAGGGGAGACUGGAAUUCCUGGUGUAGCGGUGAAAUGCGCAGAUAUCAGGAGGAACACCGGUGACGAAGGCGGGUCUCUGGGCAACAACUGACGCUGAGGAGCGAAAGCGUGGGGAGCGAACAGG